AAGAAAUAGACAGCCGGAAAUGUAAAAGAUAAGGAUAAAUGUAAACAAACAGCAAAGUACUCGCUUAACUCUUAAUUGGUCAUUGGUAACUACCAAAAAACUAUGAAGAUUAAUUCACACAUUACUAAUAAGUAAUGAAAAUUGUUAUAAACACAACUAGGUUGUAAAAAUUCACUGCAAUGUUCGAUAAAAUAGUAUUUUUCACAUUUAUUUAACUUUUUGGGGACUUUUGAAGUCUAGAAAGAGAUGACAUGUACGUUAGGUUUAAUGCUUAUAAUGGGUGAGAUGUUACAAAGACAGCACGGAAAACAAAACAAUGUGCAUGUAGUUGCACUUCCACAACUCAACAAAACAUGUGACUAAUUUGAGCUGAAAGCUGCCAUUGUAAAUGGGAAUGUUGUAAUGUGUGACUUUCUUAACAAAAGUGUUUAGCUACCUGGUGUGAAGUUCCGUUGUAUUUUUGUAUGAAGAUAUUGAAUGUGGUUCAAUGAAUUUUGUAUGUAGUCCAGAUAUGAUUUAAGUGAAGAUAUUUUGAUUGAUACGGAGAAAAUUGUGAUUGAAUUGCAGGAGAAGUGUCAUGUAGAAAGCAAUGCCAACAUUCAUGGGAAUGCCAGGAAUCUCAAAAGAGCUUUUAGAAGAUGUAGAUGAUUUCAUUAAGUAGUGAUGCUGAAAAUUUGAAUCGAAAGACGAUAUCAUUUGGUUGAUGAGUUUUUAAAUUAGCCAAAUUGCUUAGGUUUCUUAGAAGCCAGUGAGAAUACUUAUAACACGCCUUAAUGACGGAAUACAUGAUGGAAUAAAAAUGAAUUUUCAAGAUAUUUAAUUUAACAUGAAGCAAAUUCACUUCCAAGAAAAUCGCCGAUUUGAAUCGGAAAAGAAAACUAUAAAUAUUUAUGUGCAAAUAUUAGUAAAUAAAUUAUUUUGUGUUAAA
Molecule: long non-coding RNA, 928 nt
Organism: Parasteatoda tepidariorum (common house spider)
Lineage: Eukaryota; Metazoa; Arthropoda; Arachnida; Araneae; Theridiidae
Source: RefSeq, a predicted model, not a curated record